GUUAAAACACUAGUUCCCGUACGAUCACCGAAGUUAAGCAACGUCGAGCCUGGUCAGUACCUAGUUGGGUGACUACUUGGGAAUGCCACGUGCUGUA
Non-coding RNA from Acanthosepion pharaonis, 97 nucleotides. Lineage: Eukaryota; Metazoa; Mollusca; Cephalopoda; Sepiida; Sepiidae. The record is from the annotation of a GenBank genome assembly.